Molecule: ribosomal RNA, 1809 nt
Filed under: human gut metagenome
Description: bacterial LSU rRNA
Rfam family: Bacterial large subunit ribosomal RNA
Source: RNAcentral
AAGUUACUUGGCGUAGACCCGAAACCGGGUGACCUAUCCAUGAGCAGGUUGAAGCGAAAGUAAAAUUUCGUGGAGGACCGAACCCACGAGCGUUGAAAAGCUCGGGGAUGACUUGUGGAUAGCGGUGAAAUUCCAAUCGAGCCCGGAGAUAGCUGGUUCUCCCCGAAAUAGCUUUAGGGCUAGCCUCAAGCGUAGAGAAACGGAGGUAGAGCACUGAAUGUCCUAGGGGGUAUUGCACUUACCGAAGACUAUCAAACUCCGAAUGCCGUUUUCUUUUACUUGGGAGUCAGACUGUGGGUGAUAAGAUUCAUAGUCAAAAGGGCAACAGCCCAGAUCGUCAGCUAAGGUCCCUAAAUGUACGUUAAGUGGUAAAGGAUGUGGGAUUGCACAGACAACCAGGAUGUUGGCUUAGAAGCAGCCACUCAUUUAAAGAGUGCGUAAUAGCUCACUGGUCGAGUGAUCCUGCGCCGAAAAUUUCCGGGGCUAAAACGUACUACCGAAGCUACGGCAUCAUUUAUGAUGGGUAGGGGAGCUUCGUAUGCAGGCUGAAGCAUGACCGUAAGGACAUGUGGACAGUAUACGAGUGAGAAUGUUGGCAUGAGUAGCGAGACGUGGGUGAGAAUCCCACGGGCCGUAAACCCAAGGUUUCCAGGGGAAGGUUCGUCCGCCCUGGGUUAGUCGGGACCUAAGCCGAGGCCGAAAGGCGUAGGUGAUGGACAACAGGUUGAUAUUCCUGUACCGCCAAUAAGCGUUUGAGAGAUGGAGUGACACAGUAGGAUAAGCUAACCGUACUGUUGGUUAUGUACGGCUAAGCAUUGAGGCAGUCUAAAUAGGCAAAUCCGUUUAGACAAUGCUAGGAUGUGAUGGGGAAGCCCUUCGGGGCGAAGUAGCUGAUUUCACACUGUCAAGAAAAGCUUCUAUCGAGUUUAAAGGCGCCCGUACCGUAAACCGACACAGGUGGGUGAGGAGAGUAUCCUAAGGCCAGCGAGAGAACUAUUGUUAAGGAACUCGGCAAAAUGACCCCGUAACUUAGGGAGAAGGGGUGCCUGUCUAUGACAGGCCGCAGAGAAUAGGCCCAAGCGACUGUUUACCAAAAACACAGGUUUCUGCUAAGUCGCAAGACGAUGUAUAGGAGCUGACGCCUGCCCGGUGCUGGAAGGUUAAGGGGAUCUGUUAGAGCAAUCGAAGCAGUGAACUUAAGCCCCAGUAAACGGCGGCCGUAACUAUAACGGUCCUAAGGUAGCGAAAUUCCUUGUCGGGUAAGUUCCGACCCGCACGAAAGGCGUAACGAUUUGGGCACUGUCUCAACAAUAGACUCGGUGAAAUUGUAAUCCCGGUGAAGAUGCCGGGUACCUGCGACAGGACGGAAAGACCCCAUGGAGCUUUACUGUAGCUUGACGUUGGGUCUUGGUACUACAUGUACAGGAUAGGUGGGAGACUAUGAAGCAUGGACGCCAGUCUGUGUGGAGUCAUCCUUGGGAUACCACCCUUGUAGUACUGGGAUCCUAACCAUAGGCCUUGAAUCAGGUCUUGGAACACCGUCAGGUGGGCAGUUUGACUGGGGCGGUCGCCUCCUAAAAAGUAACGGAGGCGCUCAAAGGUUUCCUCAGCACGGUCGGAAAUCGUGCGAAGAGUGUAAAGGCAAAAGGAAGCUUGAUUGCAAGACAUACAGGUCGAGCAAGGACGAAAGUCGGACUUAGUGAUCCGGUGGUACCGCAUGGAAGGGCCAUCGCUCAACGGAUAAAAGCUACCCUGGGGAUAACAGGCUUAUCUCCCCCAAGAGUCCACAUCGACGGGGAGGUUUGGCAC